RNAcentral lists this ribosomal RNA (427 nucleotides) under uncultured bacterium. RNAcentral describes it as "partial 16S ribosomal RNA". It matches the Rfam family "Bacterial small subunit ribosomal RNA", at positions 355 to 774 of the family's 1533-position model. The record is from RNAcentral.
UGGGGAAUAUUGCACAAUGGGCGCAAGCCUGAUGCAGCCAUGCCGCGUGUAUGAAGAAGGCCUUCGGGUUGUAAAGUACUUUCAGCGGGGAGGAAGGUGUUGUGGUUAAUAACCACAGCAAUUGACGUUACCCGCAGAAGAAGCACCGGCUAACUCCGUGCCAGCAGCCGCGGUAAUACGGAGGGUGCAAGCGUUAAUCGGAAUUACUGGGCGUAAAGCGCACGCAGGCGGUCUGUCAAGUCGGAUGUGAAAUCCCCUGGCUCAACCUGGGAACUGCAUCCGAAACUGGCAGGCUUGAGUCUUGUAGAGGGGGGUAGAAUUCCAGGUGUAGCGGUGAAAUGCGUAGAGAUCUGGAGGAAUACCGGUGGCGAAGGCGGCCCCCUGGACAAAGACUGACGCUCAGGUGCGAAAGCGUGGGGAGCAAACA